AUUGAACGCUGGCGGCAGGCCUAACACAUGCAAGUCGAGCGGCUGCACGGUGCUUGCUUCCGCAUUCGGCGGCCGACGGGCGGGUGAUUCCUAGGUAUCUGCCUGUCUGCUGUGUCUAACGUCCUGACGUGGGCGCUCUUACCCUAUUCCUCCAUAGGGCCAACGUGGGGGAUCAUCGGACCUUCCGCCCUUAGGCGAGCCUAGGUCGGAUUAGCUAGUUGGUGGGGUAAAGGCCUACCAAGGCGACGAUCCGUAACUGGUCUGAGAGGAUGAUCAGUCACACUGGAACUGAGACACGGUCCAGACUCCUACGGGAGGCAGCAGUGGGGAAUAUUGGACAAUGGGCGAAAGCCUGAUCCAGCCAUGCCGCGUGUGUGAAGAAGGUCUUCGGGUUGUAAAGCACUUUAGGUGGGGAGGAAGGGCAGUAGGUUAAUACCUUGCUGUUUUGACGGUACCAACAGAAUAAGCACCGGCUAACUUCGUG
Molecule: ribosomal RNA, 484 nt
Filed under: uncultured bacterium
Lineage: Bacteria
Description: partial 16S ribosomal RNA
Rfam family: Bacterial small subunit ribosomal RNA
Source: RNAcentral